Molecule: long non-coding RNA, 887 nt
Organism: Conger conger (European conger)
Lineage: Eukaryota; Metazoa; Chordata; Actinopteri; Anguilliformes; Congridae
Exons: 3
Source: RefSeq, a predicted model, not a curated record
UACAGUAUUAAAGUACAGUGUUAAAGUACAGUGUACAUUGACUCUCACCCUUCAGCUGUCUAAGAAGCAGGAGUUCCGCAGUGACACAAACCUGGCAGACGCCGGCAGCACUGCUCUGAGCAGCACUAACUCCAGAUCCCUGCCCACUAUCACGGGCUUGUCUCUGUCGGUGGCCAAUGGGGGGGAGGACGGGGAGACCGCCCGCUCUCGCCGGGACAGUAAGAGCGUGUCCAUCUGCAUUCCCACCGACCGCACGCCUGACCGCCGAUCCAAAGGGGUCAUCAACCUGCUCUUCAGAACCAAGCUGGGGUCCAAGUCCGAGGAUGCCAAAACACCGCCGGAGCCACCCGGAGAGAAAUCCUCCUCUCACUUCUGAUCCGUUUUCACCGACCUUUCACCCCCUUCCUGUCCGUCUCUCUCCCGCCCCGCCCCCACCCCCACCUCAGUCUUUACAGCCUCAUCAGCCCCACCCCCUCUGAUUUUCAUACUGUAGAACAGCGCUGCUCGACUCCACGUCCCGCGCUGGAGCGCCCGGUCGGAGGACAGACCGGCAGACGAGGCCCGCGGGGCGAGGGGUUGAGUCGCGCUGCUGUAGAACAAGCUUUUCUAGAUCAUUCUGAAGGCGCCGUUAAGUAUUUUGUAAUAGUUACAUAAUCCUGAUUAUUUUUCUUUUUUUUUGGCAGUUAAAUACCAUUAAAAGGUCCAUACCUGCAUUCAAUUGAUUAUUUUAUAAUCUGUCAUUGUUUGGAUGUAAAUGGUUUCUUAAAAAAACAGGACUUAAUUGAAAUUAAUUUGCCUAGCAAUAUUAACAUUUGCUUUGUGUGUUCAUAUCAGUGUCCAUGGCUGAUUUUGAAAAUGGCCAGAAUAAAUAAACCAUUGUUUUGUUA